UCUAGAAUGGUGGGUCAGACAAGGUC
RNAcentral lists this non-coding RNA (26 nucleotides) under Homo sapiens (human). The record is from RNAcentral. Lineage: Eukaryota; Metazoa; Chordata; Mammalia; Primates; Hominidae.